Long non-coding RNA from Vespa crabro (European hornet), 4817 nucleotides. RefSeq lists it as uncharacterized. NCBI's taxonomy places the organism in Eukaryota, Metazoa, Arthropoda, Insecta, Hymenoptera, Vespidae. The record is from RefSeq and is a predicted model, not a curated record. The transcript has 3 exons.
AACUUCCCCUGUGGAUCGGGGAUAGAAUAUAUCCACAGUAUCCCCUGCUUGUCGUAAAAAGCGACUAAUAGGGGUUGAGUGUUGGACUGACAACCCAAUCUCGCAAAAACCCACUUGUUAAACCCACUGGAAACUUCAAGAAGAAAAGCCGGAUUGAAUGAUUGGUGCAAACUCCUGAAGAAGGCUGAAGCCCACUAUGGGAUGUAGUAGCAAUGGAUGGAUGGAUAGAACUAAUACACACGCGCAAAAGGGGAUAGGCAAUUUCCUUAAACGAAGGAAGUGAACGAUAGCCUAACCUUCUCGUCAUCAAGGGUCACAACCUGAAUGGAACGUUACGAGCUUUGAAACAUGUGAUCACACGAUGGACACGUGCAAGCUCUUUGAUUUCUUCAAAUACGAUCGAUUUCUCUUUAAUGCACGCACACACGCGUCACACAAGCACACAGUGCGCGCACGAAUCAUGCAAUAUUUGAUUGUCGAAUUUUCUCGAAUCUAAUUGUAAGAUUCCUUUGUUUUAAUUGAAUCAUUUUGUUCAAUUAUUUUUACUAUUAAUUCCGAUAAAAAAGUAAGUUAAAUUUUUAUUAAAUUACUAAAAUACACUAGUAGUAGUAAUAAUAAUAUAAUAAUAGUAAUAAGAUUUAUUUGAAAUUAUUGUAAUUUCGAUUAAGACAAAAAAUAUUAAAUACGUUCUAUAAUCUCGUUAGGGAAACCCAAGUUAUUAGAAAAGUCAUUAAGUAUGAACCUUAACCUAUCGAUUUUCUCUCCUUUCGAAUUACCUUUUACGGAAGUUAGUUAAAGUAGGCGAGAAAAAAAAAGAAGCAUUCAAUGUUAAGGAUCGUUGUUGGACUUUGAUAGAAUUACUAAUAAAUUUUCAAUCGGCCGAGAGAGGAAAGUUCUUCUCGUGUCAUGAGUAAUAAAAGGAAUUUUUUUAAAGGUCAAGCUUCGGCCUCUAAAGGGGAAUAAUUAUAGGUUAGAAUGUAUCUCACGAGAAUUGAACCCAUACUAUUUCCGAGUGAUCAUCCAAUUGGUGAAUUUUGACAGAAUUGAUAAAUUCUUUUAUUCCUUAGAAUUUUUUCAAUAAUUAAUUCGUCAUUCGUGGAUUAAUAUUGAUGUGCGUCGCUUAAUAUUAUUUGUAAACAAAUGAGAGCAGUCCAAUGACACUAGCGAGUCACGUGGUAAUAGUAUGUCUCUAUCCUUGUCUGCUGUCUGUUUCUUUUUCUUUCUUUCUUUCUUUCUUUCUUUCUUUCUUUCUUUCUUUCUCUGUCUCUCUGUGUAUAUCUAUCUUACACAUACACAUACAGUUUUAUUCGUCUCCUCCGUAUAUCAACCGAGUCUCUUAUCGGUAUUCAUUAGUCCAAUAAACUUUAAUCAAGUUGCUCGGCUACGAGAAGAGGAAAAAGGUUUCAAGGUCUUGGCUUGUUGGCGCUUGGCUGAUCGUACGACGACUUUGCUAACUACGCGACAGAAAUAUUCUGACGUAACAACGAUCCAUGACUUUGCUCAAAGGAUGUUCCUAAUGAUUCUCCAUUUAACCGCACAAAUAAAAAUGCUUCUUGUAUUUUUGUCUUUUUUUUUCUUAUUUCUUUUUUCUUAUUAAAUUUGGGGAUUCCAAAAGUAUAUUUCUAAGAAUUGAAUGAGGAAAAACGUCGAUUGAUAAACAGAAUCUAUCACGUGAUCGUUAAACUAAUCUGUGCAGAUUACUUAAAACUAAAUGGAAUUUUAUCAUAUCAUACAUAUGUAUGAUACAUAUAUUGAUUAUCCAUGUUCAAGCAAAUUACAGGAAAAUUUGUUAAGAAAAUAAUCAAGAAAGGGAAAGUUCCAUUUCUAAGUUAAGAGUGAAUAAGAAAGGAAGAGAGAGAGAGAGAGGGGAGGGAGGGAGAAAAGGGCCUUCGAGAAAAGCCGAUGGUAAGGUUCUUGCCCGAGCCUUGGAAUGUUGCUUGGCGAGGAGUUCGCUGGAAAAGGAGAGGAGAGGAGAGAAGGAGUUUCGGAGGGAGGGGAAAGGAUGGAAGGAAGGAAGGAAGGAAGGAAGGAAGGGGGAUGAGCUCUCACAAAAAACAUCAUCCCUUCUUCGAAUUCUCUUUAACCCAGAGUGGAAAUUGUUGCAGUUUAAAUACUGCAACUGACGAUUCGAUAGAUAUUAGAUUAUUAAGUUCGAGUUUCUUUUUAUCAUUAUUCGAAUAUGAAGAAAGGCGUACUUUAUCAAGAUUGAAUAUUUUAACAGGUAUAACUCGUAUCUUUGUCUAUAUAUCUAUACACUUGUACGCAUACAUAUAUAUUCAUGUAUAUCAAUUUGAAAUUAAACGUGUAAACGUUUAUAUACGUAUAAGUUACAUAAGUGUGGAAUUUUAGAUGCAAAUUUAAUCCGUUAAUCUGGACUUGGAUAAAAAUGUAGGUGUAUUUUGCGUAGGUUAAGUACAGGAAGUACGUACAUAACCUCAAAAGAAAAUAAUUACACUAAGAGAAGGGGAAUCCUGUUACUCGAAAGAUUUUAUCAUUUCGAUUCCUCCAAAGAUCGCGUCUUUCUCCAGUCGAUUAAUAUUACAAGCUCGAUCCGUUUUCUUUUAAAGGAGACUAGAUUGAACUGGUUUCAUUUAAAAAGAUCGCGUCAAGAGAGUAGAGAAUAUCUUUGUAAUUGCUAGACGUUAGUCCAGUUAGAUAAAAAUCAUAGCGUGAAUUCAGGAGCGAUACAUUUUUCAAAGACAAUCAUUGAUCGUCUCUCUUUUGUUAUUUAUUUAUGUUCGAUUUCUUUUAUGAACGAUAAUAAUCUUUAAUGCGAUUAGAAAUAAUUGAAGGGAAACGGCAUAUUACCGAUUGAGCCUGGGAUUUAACUAAUGAGCAAUCUCUUUUACAAAAGAAAAGAAGAGAAAAGAAAAGAUAAGAUGAUAUUCUCACGUGAUUAAACAUCUUUUUCACGUAAAUACGAGUAUUUGUCUUAUCUUGACGCAGGUGAUCACGAGUGCAGCAGUAUCGUCUAUGCAUGAUUGAAUAUAUAUAUAUGACACUUAGUGUUAAAAGAUGCACGUACUUGUGCAAAGAAAAUCGUUUAUAUCAAGUUCUCCUUCUCAUUUUUAUUAAAAAAAAAAGAAAAAAAAAAGAAAAAAAAAGAAAAAAAAAGAAACUAUCAAAAUGUUAAUUUUGAUUAUAAAAUUUGAUGUAUAAAAUCAAAUCAUCGACAAAAUGACCUAAUACGAUCUAUUCUAAAUAAUAAAUCGUAAUGGAUGAUUUGAAUUUCUUCGAAUCGAAAGGACGUGAGCUUUUUACGUUUAGUCGUCUCAUUGAAAACUACAUGAAUGUAAGCUGUAAUAAACGGCAUUCGUCAGCAUAGCAAAACCACCUACGAUCUUUAAGCAUUCGAUUCACAACUCGUGACUCUACGCCGUUUCUAGCAAGAAAAUGUCAUGCAAGUUCCUCAAUGAAUAGAAAUCCUCGAUCAAGAGAAAAUAUCUUGACAAACAGAUCUUUUAUAUAUUUUUUUUAGAUAUUUUUAGAUAUGCCUAUAUGUGUACGUAUAACGUAGUCGUUUCUUAGAAAAAAGAAACAAGAUCUCUCUAACCGAAAAAGAUGAUUUCUUUUCGGUUUCAUUUUCAUAAGAAUACAUAGCACGUUUGUGCUGAUCGUAAAUAUGAGAUUUCUCCUUCUCGUGUUUUCAGUUAAGAUCUUUUUUACCGAUCAUGUUUAAUAUAAUAUCGUUCAAUAACUAUGCUAAAUUUACAUUGAAAGAAAACAAAAUUUCAUAGGAAAAAAAGAGAAACUCAUUUUAUCAUAAUAUAACUAACAAUUUUUAUUAAAACUUUGGUACAACGAGAGAUGAUCAUUAAUACGCUGGAUAAGUACGUAUAUCGCAUUAAAAUGUGAAAGCGAUUAAAAAUCAAUGAAAAAAAAUGUUUAAGCGAUCAUGAGAAUGGUAUGAUUUCACAUUAUUAAUGCAUAUAUGUCAUCGGUAUAUGCUAAGAAGAUGAAACCUUUGACCAAUCAACACAGCAGGCAGUACGUCGAAUGAUAUAAAACAACUAUUACGAAUUUAAAUUCUCUUCGUUCUUUUUUACGUUUCGUUAUAAUCCAAUUAAUUUCUCAACAGAUCCAGUUUAUUCUGCUGCUGUGAUAAUGAUGAUGAUAAUGAUGAUGUUGGUUCUGGUGGUGGUGGUAGUGGUAGUGGUGGUAUAUAUUCGAGUAAGAAACACAAGGGCGAUGAAAUGUAUUUUGUAAAGUAAAUGCAAUCGAAACAAUGUGUUUCUCUUCGUCAACGUACUACACGUUGAGUACACGAGUUUAAAAAAUAAAAAAAAAGGUAAGAGUGAGGGGCGUGUCGGAGCGAAGUGACGGUACUGACGACGAGGAUAGUGGCGCGGGGUAGGGGUGGGGGGGGGCAGCUCCCUCCACUCCCCAUCCCUCUCUGUGGCGCACGUCGGCCCACUUGGGCGGCAGCCUUCUUUCCGUUUGACUGUCUCACUCCACCGCCUACCUCGUUCACUACGCUCUCUCACUCUACCUACGCUUUCCACUCUCUUCCUACGUUCACUCAUGUACACACCGCAGGUUAUAAAAGUACCCCGCGCAAUCGUCAGACUCUUAGUCAACUCACGAACGUUUACGAGUGCGUAUAUGGCUCUCUCCUCUUUCUAUUGUUACGUUCGUUCAAUUUGAAUUUCGAAGAAAAUUUCAACCGUAAAUUUCUUUGCGUGUAUACGUCUCUUAAAAUUACCCGAACUUGGACGCAGUUGCAGCCUUGCUUCCUUCUCGGGAAUAUUUAUAUUGGAAUUAAGUUUUCCAUCCUCGUUAUUCCCUUCUUCAGUUUUUCUAAGGAUUACUUCUAAUAU